CCCACCGCUAUCGGGGUGAGACUUAGGCAUGUUAGUCGUACGCCUCCCGGCCGUCGGGGGAGGAGUGGCGUACGGCUCAGUAACACGUAGUUAACCUGCCCUCAGGACAGAGAUAACUCCGGGAAACUGGGGUCAAUGUCUGAUAGAUGAGGAAGCCUGGAAUGGUUCCUCUUCGAAAAGACGCUGGAACCGUGCUUCCAACGUCGCCUGAGGAUGAGACUGCGGCCGAUCAGGUUGUUGGUGAGGUAACGGCUCACCAAGCCUAUAACCGGUACGGGCCGUGAGAGCGGUAGCCUGGAGAUGGGCACUGAGACAAGGGCCCAGGCCCUACGGGGCGCAGCAGUCGCGAAAACUCUGCAAUACGCGAAAGCGUGACAGGGUUACCCCGAGUGCCGUCCACUGAGGACAGCUUUUCUCUGGUGUAAUGAGCCGGCGGAAUAAGGGGAGGGCAAGACUGGUGUCAGCCGCCGCGGUAAUACCAGCUCCCCGAGUGGUGGGGAUGAUUAUUGGGCCUGAAGCGUCCGUAGCCGGCUCGGUAAGUCUUCCGUUAAAUCCAACGAUCUAAUCGUUGGGCUGCGGGAGAUACUGUCGGGCUAGGGGACGGGAGAAGCCGACGGUAUUUCUAGGGUAGGGGUGAUAUCCUAUAAUCCUAGAAGGACCACCAGUGGCGAAGGCGGUCGGCUAGAACGCGCCCGACGGUG
RNAcentral lists this ribosomal RNA (701 nucleotides) under uncultured archaeon. Its description in RNAcentral is "bacterial SSU rRNA". It matches the Rfam family "Archaeal small subunit ribosomal RNA", at positions 23 to 699 of the family's 1478-position model. The record is from RNAcentral.